This 263-nucleotide long non-coding RNA is filed under the name Salvia miltiorrhiza (redroot sage). Its description in RNAcentral is "long non-coding RNA (SMIL_LNC009867)". Lineage: Eukaryota; Viridiplantae; Streptophyta; Magnoliopsida; Lamiales; Lamiaceae. The record is from RNAcentral.
GAAUUUGUGAAGUCGAUGAUGAUGUAAUGGAGACUUGAAGGUUUGAAGUAAAAGAAAGUUUGAAGGAAGAAGAAUGGAAGACAUGUUCUUGACUUGUUAUGUUUGUUUGUUUUUUUAGCUAAGACUUUUUUAUGUUGCUAUUUGUUAAACUUUCAUUAGAAUUUAUGUUUUUGUGAUGUUGGUAUUAUCAUGUUCAUGUUGUGGGGAUUUGACAUUUGAAAUUUGUGUAUUUUACCAUUUUUAAUAGGUAAUUUCGAAAAAAA